UACAGAGGGUGCAAGCGUUAAUCGGAAUUACUGGGCGUAAAGGGCGCGUAGGUGGUUUGUUAAGUGAGAUGUGAAAUCCCCGGGCUUAACCUGGGACGUGCGUCUUAAACUGAUAAGCUAGAGUGCAAUAGAGGGUAGUGGAAUUUCCGGUGUAGCGGUGAAAUGCGUAGAGAUCGGAAGGAACACCAGUGGCGAAGGCGGCUACCUGGAUUGACACUGACACUGAGGCGCGAGAGCGUGGGGAGCAAACAGG
Molecule: ribosomal RNA, 253 nt
Filed under: uncultured bacterium
Lineage: Bacteria
Description: partial 16S ribosomal RNA
Rfam family: Bacterial small subunit ribosomal RNA
Source: RNAcentral